UUACUGACGCUAAAGCUCGAAGGUGCGGGUAUCGAACAGGAUUAGAUACCCUGGUAGUCCGCACGGUAAACGAUGGAUGCCCGCUGUUUGCGAUAUAUUGUAAGCGGCCAAGCGAAAGCGUUAAGCAUCCCACCUGGGGAGUACGCCGGCAACGGUGAAACUCAAAGGAAUUGACGGGGGCCCGCACAAGCGGAGGAACAUGUGGUUUAAUUCGAUGAUACGCGAGGAACCUUACCCGGGCUUGAACUGCAGGAGAACGAUCCAGAGAUGGUGAGGCCCUUCGGGGCUCCUGUGGAGGUGCUGCAUGGUUGUCGUCAGCUCGUGCCGUGAGGUGUCGGCUUAAGUGCCAUAACGAGCGCAACCCCUUUCGCCAGUUGCCAUCAGGUGAUGCUGGGCACUCCGGCGACACUGCCACCGUAAGGUGCGAGGAAGGUGGGGAUGACGUCAAAUCAGCACGGCCCUUACGUCCGGGGCUACACACGUGUUACAAUGGGUGGUACAGAGAGCAGGGUGCACGCAAGUUCACCCGAAUCACGAAAGCCAUCCUCAGUUCGGAUUGGGGUCUGCAACCCGACCCCAUGAAGCUGGAUUCGCUAGUAA
Molecule: ribosomal RNA, 600 nt
Filed under: uncultured bacterium
Lineage: Bacteria
Description: bacterial SSU rRNA
Rfam family: Bacterial small subunit ribosomal RNA
Source: RNAcentral